RNAcentral lists this unclassified non-coding RNA (387 nucleotides) under soil metagenome. RNAcentral describes it as "partial contains 5.8S ribosomal RNA, internal transcribed spacer 2, and large subunit ribosomal RNA". The stretch from base 1 to 120 matches the Rfam family "5.8S ribosomal RNA", at positions 35 to 154 of the family's 154-position model. The record is from RNAcentral.
GAUGAAGAACGCAGCGAAAUGCGAUAAGUAAUGUGAAUUGCAGAAUUCAGUGAAUCGUCGAAUCUUUGAACGCACCUUGCACCCUUUGGUAUUCCGAAGGGUAUGCUCGUUUGAGUGUCAUUGUACUCUCACACUUCUAAUUCCUUUCGGGAUUGGGAGCGGUGGACUUGGGUGUUGCUGCUUUAGUUGUGGCUCACCUCAAAUAAGUUAGUGCAACUCUUGGUUGGACAUAGUACGGCGUGAUAAGUGUCUUCGCCGGCGCCUCUGUAAGGAGGGUGGCCGAUCGGGAGCUCUGUGCUUCAAACCGUCUUCGGACAAUCUUUGACAACUUGACCUCAAAUCGAGUAGGACUACCCGCUGAACUUAAGCAUAUCAAUAAGCGGAGGA